RNAcentral lists this long non-coding RNA (439 nucleotides) under Bos taurus (domestic cattle). Its description in RNAcentral is "long non-coding RNA NONBTAT022034". The record is from RNAcentral. Lineage: Eukaryota; Metazoa; Chordata; Mammalia; Artiodactyla; Bovidae.
CAUUAAUAUGCCAGUCAAGACUACAGUUAAAACUACUCUUGCACUGCAACAGUGCAUAUGACCUUUAUGUGAUUGUACAGUAUUAAAAAGGUUUUUUUGCUUAUGUACAGUAAACUUUAUCAUAUGGCAGCAGCCUCUAUUGUGUUAAAUAAAUUAGUAUAGAGAAUAUUUUAUACUUUUGUUAUUAAAACAUCCAGGGCAAUUUAAUAUUUGUUCCUAGAUGUAACUCAUUUGAAUAGAUUUCUGCAUUUGUUAUUCAGCAAUGUAUAAAGCUAACCUUGAUAAUUUUACUUUUAAUUAAUUAUCUAAAUGGAAAAUGUUGUUAGCCGAACCACAUCCACCACAGCACAGAGAGCUCUAUCCGAGUUUAGAUGUAGAUCAUUGGAGGUUAAUAAAUUAUCUUCCAAAGCAGUGAGCCAAUCAAUACAACUGCAGUUGG